CUGCACUUUCCUCUAAAAUGUUUUUAUUGGAGCACAUUGUCAUACAGUUACAUGUUUACUGCAUACACAUUGCGUGCAAAAUUUUUACAUCCAUAAAGACAAAUGUGCAGUUAGG
Sphaeramia orbicularis (orbiculate cardinalfish) is the source of this 115-nucleotide long non-coding RNA. RefSeq lists it as uncharacterized. The transcript is spliced from 3 exons. NCBI's taxonomy places the organism in Eukaryota, Metazoa, Chordata, Actinopteri, Kurtiformes, Apogonidae. The record is from RefSeq and is a predicted model, not a curated record.